Molecule: ribosomal RNA, 325 nt
Filed under: uncultured eukaryote
Lineage: Eukaryota
Description: partial 18S ribosomal RNA
Rfam family: Eukaryotic small subunit ribosomal RNA
Source: RNAcentral
CCCUUAGAUGUUCUGGGCCGCACGCGCGCUACACUGAUGCAUUCAACGAGCCUAGCCUUGACCGAGAGGUCCGGGUAAUCUUUGAAACUGCAUCGUGAUGGGGCUAGAUUAUUGCAAUUAUUAAUCUUCAACGAGGAAUGCCUAGUAAGCGUGAUUCAUCAGAUCGCGUUGAUUACGUCCCUGCCCUUUGUACACACCGCCCGUCGCUCCUACCGAUUGAGUGGUCCGGUGAGGCUUUGGGAUCUGAGCGGAAAGAGCGUUUCGCUGUUUCUGCUCGGAAAACUCAGUCGAACCUUAUCAUUUAGAGGAAGGAGAAGUCGUAACA